RNAcentral lists this ribosomal RNA (1057 nucleotides) under uncultured Pseudomonas sp. RNAcentral's name for it is "bacterial SSU rRNA". It matches the Rfam family "Bacterial small subunit ribosomal RNA", at positions 10 to 1064 of the family's 1533-position model. Lineage: Bacteria; Pseudomonadati; Pseudomonadota; Gammaproteobacteria; Pseudomonadales; Pseudomonadaceae. The record is from RNAcentral.
AGUUUGAUCCUGGCUCAGAUUGAACGCUGGCGGCAGGCCUAACACAUGCAAGUCGAGCGGUAGAGAGAAGCUUGCUUCUCUUGAGAGCGGCGGACGGGUGAGUAAUGCCUAGGAAUCUGCCUGGUAGUGGGGGAUAACGUUCGGAAACGGACGCUAAUACCGCAUACGUCCUACGGGAGAAAGCAGGGGACCUUCGGGCCUUGCGCUAUCAGAUGAGCCUAGGUCGGAUUAGCUAGUUGGUGAGGUAAUGGCUCACCAAGGCGACGAUCCGUAACUGGUCUGAGAGGACGAUCAGUCACACUGGAACUGAGACACGGUCCAGACUCCUACGGGAGGCAGCAGUGGGGAAUAUUGGACAAUGGGCGAAAGCCUGAUCCAGCCAUGCCGCGUGUGAAGAAGGUCUUCGGAUUGUAAAGCACUUUAAGUUGGGAGGAAGGGUUGUAGAUUAAUACUCUGCAAUUUUGACGUUACCGACAGAAUAAGCACCGGCUAACUCUGUGCCAGCAGCCGCGGUAAUACAGAGGGUGCAAGCGUUAAUCGGAAUUACUGGGCGUAAAGCGCGCGUAGGUGGUUUGUUAAGUUGGAUGUGAAAUCCCCGGGCUCAACCUGGGAACUGCAUUCAAAACUGACUGACUAGAGUAUGGUAGAGGGUGGUGGAAUUUCCUGUGUAGCGGUGAAAUGCGUAGAUAUAGGAAGGAACACCAGUGGCGAAGGCGACCACCUGGACUAAUACUGACACUGAGGUGCGAAAGCGUGGGGAGCAAACAGGAUUAGAUACCCUGGUAGUCCACGCCGUAAACGAUGUCAACUAGCCGUUGGAAGCCUUGAGCUUUUAGUGGCGCAGCUAACGCAUUAAGUUGACCGCCUGGGGAGUACGGCCGCAAGGUUAAAACUCAAAUGAAUUGACGGGGGCCCGCACAAGCGGUGGAGCAUGUGGUUUAAUUCGAAGCAACGCGAAGAACCUUACCAGGCCUUGACAUCCAAUGAACUUUCUAGAGAUAGAUUGGUGCCUUCGGGAACAUUGAGACAGGUGCUGCAUGGCUGUCGUCAGCUCGUG